This 88-nucleotide ribosomal RNA is filed under the name uncultured Bacilli bacterium. Its description in RNAcentral is "partial 16S ribosomal RNA". It matches the Rfam family "Bacterial small subunit ribosomal RNA", at positions 464 to 550 of the family's 1533-position model. The record is from RNAcentral. Lineage: Bacteria; Bacillati; Bacillota; Bacilli.
GCAGAGUGACGGUAUAGGAGAAGAAGCCCCGGCUAACUACGUGCCAGCAGCCGCGGUAACUACGUAGGGAGGCAAGCGUUGUCCGGAA